This 957-nucleotide ribosomal RNA is filed under the name Nagrajchalara yongnianii. RNAcentral's name for it is "partial large subunit ribosomal RNA". It matches the Rfam family "Eukaryotic large subunit ribosomal RNA", at positions 24 to 1379 of the family's 3401-position model. Lineage: Eukaryota; Fungi; Ascomycota; Leotiomycetes; Helotiales. The record is from RNAcentral.
UUUUUUCUCCCCCGGGGAAAAAAAUUGAUAUCAAUAAGCGGAGGAAAAGAAACCAACCGGGAUUACCUCAGUAACGGCGAGUGAAGCGGUAAUAGCUCAAAUUUGAAAUCUGGCUUCGGUCCGAGUUGUAAUUUGUAGAAGAUGCUUCGGGUGUGGCUCCGGUCUAAGUUCCUUGGAACAGGACGUCAUAGAGGGUGAGAAUCCCGUAUGUGACUGGGUGCCUUCGCCUAUGUGAAGCUCUUUCGACGAGUCGAGUUGUUUGGGAAUGCAGCUCAAAAUGGGUGGUAUAUUUCAUCUAAAGCUAAAUAUUGGCCAGAGACCGAUAGCGCACAAGUAGAGUGAUCGAAAGAUGAAAAGCACUUUGGAAAGAGAGUUAAACAGUACGUGAAAUUGUUGAAAGGGAAGCGUUUGCAAUCAGACUUGCACGUUGCCGAUCAUCUGGUGUUCUCACCAGUGCACUCGGUUUCGUUCAGGCCAGCAUCGGUUUGGGUGGUUGGAUAAAGGCCUUGGGAAUGUGGCUCCUUUCGGGGAGUGUUAUAGCCCUCGGUGCAAUGCAGCCUACCUGGACCGAGGACCGCGCUUCGGCUAGGAUGCUGGCGUAAUGAUUGUAAACGACCCGUCUUGAAACACGGACCAAGGAGUCUAACAUCUAUGCGAGUAUUUGGGUGUUAAACCCAUAUGCGUAAUUAACGUGAACGGAGGUAAGAGCCCUUAAGGGUGCAUUAUCGACCGGUCCUGAUGUCUUCGGAAGGAUCUGAGUAAGAGCAUAGCUGUUGGGACCCGAAAGAUGGUGAACUAUGCCUGAAUAGGGUGAAGCCAGAGGAAACUCUGGUGGAGGCUCGCAGCGGUUCUGACGUGCAAAUCGAUCGUCAAAUUUGGGUAUAGGGGCGAAAGACUAAUCGAACCAUCUAGUAGCUGGUUCCUGCGUCACCCCCCCCCCCAGACGAGAGAAAAAAG